ACUACUUAUUGAUGCUAAUUGCGUGCCGUUGAAAUUAUUUACCCGCCAAUUCUAGAAGGUCACGAAGGACAGUAUCAAAAGACAAAGCUAUUUAUGUAUUUAUCUUUCAGAACACGGACAAAGGGGGAGGGAGGAGGGACCAAGGACGGAUAUAGUACACAGACAGACACAAAGAAACACAGACAUACACACAUACAGACGAAGGUAUUGUUUGGUAAUGUCUUCGAAGCUACACUUAUAUUUAGCUACAAUUGCACCCAUAUAGUAAAUUACACCCAUAGUCACACCCGCUAAAUAUACCCAUGCUAUACGAUACAUACCCAAAACUCAAUUCAUCGUAAUUAUUUGUGCGCUGAAAACGAGUAAAUAGUGUUCGCUAGAUUCUUAUUUGUUUGUUUAUUUGCUUGGUCCUGUUUGAAUCGUCUUUAAAAACUCCUAUAAUUACACUCAAUACACCCAAGAACACGUAAGCUUAGUAACAGGAUGUAGGAUUUCAGGUUCAGGGAGACGGUGGCGCAGUGGUUAACAUGGUGAGGCCGAGGACCCAGGUUCGACUCCCACCGAUGCACACUCACAAUUUUCAAUCCAUAUCCUGCCCAGUGAUAAAAAGAGCUACGGAUUUCAAUGAGUGCGUAGUAUGUGCUUUUAAUCUCCCUCUCGGUAAACAAAGCUAGGUACAUUGCGUGAAGAACUAUAUAAGAACACCGACCCAGAUCUUGUCUACCCUUAACACAGCGAUUUCAUUCAAGAGGAUCACCGGGGGCAGCAUAGGGCAAGCAAGAGAGUCAUAUAUCACGAUAGCCACUAUAAAUUAAAUCCCCCCGCUGCACUGUCGGUUUGGGCCCAUCCAAGAGACCCCCUCAAGAGAGCUUACCGGCGCUAUAGGAAGCAUUUACCCUUGAUACAUUGGGCACAUCUGGAUCACAAGAGCGAAGUGUGGUUAUUGAAGGAUCAGAAGGAGGUCAUUUUGGAUACGGGAGGAUCAUAAGAGGAUAAAUUGGGUAAGCGGAGGUUCAGAAGAGGAUGAAUUGGAUACAGAAAAAUCAGAAGGGGUCAUUUUGGAUAUAGAAGGAUCAGAAGAGGAUAGAAUGGGUACAGAAGGAUUAGAAGAGGAUGAAUUGGAUACAGAAGAAUCAGAAAAGGUCAUUUUGGAUACAGGAGGAUAACAAGGGGAUAAAAUAGGUACAGAAGGAUAACAAGAUAUUUUUGGAUACAGAAUUAUCAGAAUAGGAUGAAUUGGAUACAGAAGAAUCAGAACAGGAUAAAUUGGGUACCGAAGGAUAACAAAGAGGUCAUUUUGGAUACAGGAGGAUAACAAGAGGAUAAAAUAGAUACAGAAGGAUAACAAGAAGAUAUUUUUGGAUACGGAAGGAUCAGAAUAGGAUAAACUGGGUACCGAAAAAUCCCAAAGAGGUCAUUUUGGAUACAGGAGGAUAACAAGAGGAUACAAUAGGAACAGAAGGAUCAGAAUAGGAUAAAUUGGAUACAUAAAGGUCAUAAGAGGUCACGCUAACGGGUUUAAGUGACACAUGUGUAUACCUUGACACUUAUAUAAGUAUAGGAAUCAUAACCUUGGGAAUACACUUACGGUACACUUUUUGACACUUAUAAGGAAUCGAAUUACACUUAGAUUCAUACAUGUAUUUUUUUAUCUUGUAAAAUAAAGGAAAUUAAAAGAGAAAAAAAAAUAAUUGUCAUGGUUAGAGAGAGAGAGAGAGAGAGAGAGAGAGAGAGAGAGAGAGAGAGAGAGAGAGAGAG
Molecule: long non-coding RNA, 1758 nt
Organism: Eriocheir sinensis (Chinese mitten crab)
Lineage: Eukaryota; Metazoa; Arthropoda; Malacostraca; Decapoda; Varunidae
Exons: 2
Source: RefSeq, a predicted model, not a curated record